This 227-nucleotide ribosomal RNA is filed under the name uncultured bacterium. Its description in RNAcentral is "partial 16S ribosomal RNA". It matches the Rfam family "Bacterial small subunit ribosomal RNA", at positions 524 to 749 of the family's 1533-position model. The record is from RNAcentral.
UACGGAGGGAGCUAGCGUUGUUCGGAAUUACUGGGCGUAAAGCGCACGUAGGCGGCUUUUUAAGUCAGGGGUGAAAUCCCGGGGCUCAACCCCGGAACUGCCCUUGAAACUGGAGAGCUAGAAUCUUGGAGAGGCGAGUGGAAUUCCGAGUGUAGAGGUGAAAUUCGUAGAUAUUCGGAAGAACACCAGUGGCGAAGGCGACUCGCUGGACAAGUAUUGAGCGCUGA